CAGAAACCCUACAGGAACAAUGCUGGAAGACCUGGUUGCUGUCAGAGCUGCUUUCUUCUACUUGACUCCCUCUUUCUUCUCCCUUCCUUUGCUCCCUCUCCCUUCCUCCCUCCACCCCCCUUGCUCUCCCUAAGGUCUCCUAUAUCUAACCCCAGACUGGCCUCCAACUCUCUAUUUAGUCAAGGAAGACUUCGAACUUCUGAUCCUCCUGCCUCCACCUCACCUCCCAAGUGCUAGGUUGCAGGAAUUGACCCAUGUUAUGAAGUCUGGAGGUUAAGUCCAAGAUCUCAGGCAUUCUACGAAAGCCCUCACCGUGAGAGGCCCCAGCUCCACAAGGAGGUUUGCUCUCUGCCCUUACAUUUCUGGCUAUGAUGACAUAUGUGGCAAACAACCGGAGACAGGAGACUGAUGAUGGACCCAAGGAAUGUGAAGGUGCUGGAUUCCACAUGCAUUUGUUCUCACCUCUCCUCCUUACAGCAUUGCAAAGGGGUGCAGAGAUUGACAGCUCCAGCCCUGAUAUCCAGAGUGCCUGGCACACUAUCUCCAACUCUGUAUAUGCCCAAUGUUCAUGUCUAAAUUAGUCAUCAACUCCAAAAAUAGUGAAUGAAAAGACUUAACAGAGCGGCUGAUGGUGCCUGAUCCAAAAUCAUAGUGUGGAA
This 659-nucleotide long non-coding RNA is filed under the name Cricetulus griseus (Chinese hamster). RNAcentral's name for it is "lncRNA (ENSCGRG00015033929.1)". The record is from RNAcentral. Lineage: Eukaryota; Metazoa; Chordata; Mammalia; Rodentia; Cricetidae.